AUGAGUCACACUUUUCCUCUUUAAUUCUGCAGAGACUUGGCACCUCUGCGUGAUGAAAUCCAAAUACUGGCUGUGGUUACGGAACUGAGCAAAAUACAGAGCAGAUGAAGAGAUGCAGAGCUGUAGCUUGCGGGGCCUCAUUGUUCGGGAACACCGCGUAACAAAAAGAAAAGCCAUGCACUGAGGAGCUGCUGUGUCUGCAAGGGAUCUCUUCAAAACAGAAACCAAACAAAACUGAACAAACCCAACAAUUUACUCUGCAGCCAACUAUGGCCGCUGCCAAAGUCUUGUACCUGGCAGCAUUCGACAGGAUCUCCCUGUGCCCUCCUGCCACCAUGAGAAAAGAGCUUCAGCACACUUUGCUUUCCAGGCUUCGCAUUUACAGACUCUCCAGCUGGCUCCUAAAGGAGGUUCAUGAACUCUGCUGCACACAGCAAGUCGCUUCUUGCUUACACAUAGUUUUAAUUGUAGUA
This 473-nucleotide long non-coding RNA is filed under the name Chrysolophus pictus (golden pheasant). RNAcentral describes it as "lncRNA (ENSCPIG00010007250.1)". The record is from RNAcentral. Lineage: Eukaryota; Metazoa; Chordata; Aves; Galliformes; Phasianidae.